RNAcentral lists this ribosomal RNA (497 nucleotides) under uncultured bacterium. RNAcentral describes it as "partial 16S ribosomal RNA". It matches the Rfam family "Bacterial small subunit ribosomal RNA", at positions 28 to 507 of the family's 1533-position model. The record is from RNAcentral.
GAUGAACGCUAGCGGCGUGCCUAAUACAUGCAAGUCGAGCGAACAGACGAGGAGCUUGCUCCUUUGACGUUAGCGGCGGACGGGUGAGUAACACGUAGGUAACCUACCUAUAAGACUGGGAUAACUUCGGGAAACCGGAGCUAAUACCGGAUAAUAUUUCGAACCGCAUGGUUCGAUAGUGAAAGAUGGCUUUGCUAUCACUUAUAGAUGGACCUGCGCCGUAUUAGCUAGUUGGUAAGGUAACGGCUUACCAAGGCAACGAUACGUAGCCGACCUGAGAGGGUGAUCGGCCACACUGGAACUGAGACACGGUCCAGACUCCUACGGGAGGCAGCAGUAGGGAAUCUUCCGCAAUGGGCGAAAGCCUGACGGAGCAACGCCGCGUGAGUGAUGAAGGUCUUCGGAUCGUAAAACUCUGUUAUUAGGGAAGAACAAACGUGUAAGUAACUGUGCACGUCUUGACGGUACCUAAUCAGAAAGCCACGGCUAACUACGUG